ACAAAUAUUUAGCAGAGUGCCUGGCACAUAAUAGUUGCUCAAUGAGUAACAUUUAGUAUUAUUAUUGUAGAAAAAGAAAAUGAGAAAGAAAAAGUGAGAGAAAAGAAAGAAGUGAAAGAAAAUUGUUGUAGACAGAGUGAUCAAGGAAGGAUUUAUAAAGGAGGUUUGUAUUUUGUAGAAAUGAGAAACUGAUUACAUCUGCUUAUUUGGACAGUGAAUGGAACCACAUAUUCUGCCUGUUGGCAAACACCAAAUCUGUAUAGUUUAUUUUCUUCAAAGGGAAUCAUGAUUGCCAACAAUCACUCAGCACCAACAAUUUACUGAAUGUUUAUCUGCCUGCAUUCUUCUUGUGGCUGGAAAUGUAGCAGUGAACCAGACCGAGACCCUGAUCCGCUGGGUAUAUAGCUGGGGGAGUCAGACAUUCAUGAAAAUGACUUCUAGUGCCACAGAUAUUUCAAAAGAUGCAGUAAAGAGUUCUGUGGGUCUGAAUGAUAUGGUGUGCUAACCAAAUAUGUGAAGGUGGCGAAGGUCUCCUAGAAGAAUUGGUGCAAAACUUGAGUCUCAAAGGAUGAGCUGGGUGAGGAGUUGGGCACAGUAUUCUGGGCAGUGGGAACAUCAUGGACAGAAGCCUGAAUGCAGCGGAGAGACUGACUCACUUGUGGGCAUGAAGGAGAUCAGCAUGACUGGAUUGGAGCUCACUUCCUGGUGUUUUCACCUCAUUGCAUCCCUGGUUGGUUUCUGUUGCUUGCAAUGAAAGAACCCUUACAAAUGCAAUAAUGCAGAAGUAACAAUGAAGAUGACACUGAUUCACACAAGAUUUAAUUUGUUACAUGAGUAAAUAAACAAAGCAAAAUGAACAGAAUUUACUAUACUGCAUCCCUGCUGGGAGUAUGUUGAGCUAUCUGGCCUGGAAGGCCUUUGUGACCUGUUGAAAGAAUAUACAUGGAUUUACUUCAGGAGAAAAAUAAAGUGUUAUUUUAAAAAUGGAUCAUGUUCAUUGUAAUUAAGAAUAAAG
Molecule: long non-coding RNA, 1015 nt
Filed under: Homo sapiens (human)
Lineage: Eukaryota; Metazoa; Chordata; Mammalia; Primates; Hominidae
Description: HSALNT0308772
Source: RNAcentral